CCUACGGGAGGCAGCAGUGAGGAAUAUUGGUCAAUGGGCGGAAGCCUGAACCAGCCAAGUCGCGUGAGGGAUUAAGGCCCUGCGGAUCGUAAACCUCUUUUGCAGGGGAGCAGAGGUCCGGAUGUGACCGGGCCGGGAGAGUAACCGGAGAAAAAGCAUCGGCUAACUCCGUGACAGCAGCCGCGGUAAUACGGGGGAUGCGAGCGUUAGCCGGUUUUAUUGGGUUUAAAGGGUGCGUAGGAGGGCAUUUAAGCCGGCGGUCAAAUGUCGGGGCUCAACCCCGGCCUGCCGUCGGAACUGGGUGCCUUGAGUGGGCGAGAGGUAUGCGGAAUGCGUGGUGUAGCGGUGAAAUGCAUAGAUAUCACGCAGAACCCCGAUUGCGAAGGCAGCAUACCGGCGCCCUACUGACGCUGAGGCACGAAAGUGCGGGUAUCGAACAUGAUUAGAUACCCGUGUAGUC
RNAcentral lists this ribosomal RNA (460 nucleotides) under uncultured bacterium. Its description in RNAcentral is "partial 16S ribosomal RNA". It matches the Rfam family "Bacterial small subunit ribosomal RNA", at positions 338 to 795 of the family's 1533-position model. The record is from RNAcentral.